GGAUGUAGCCAAGUGGAUCAAGGCAG
RNAcentral lists this transfer RNA (26 nucleotides) under Sciodaphyllum pentandrum. RNAcentral describes it as "Schefflera pentandra partial tRNA-His". Lineage: Eukaryota; Viridiplantae; Streptophyta; Magnoliopsida; Apiales; Araliaceae. The record is from RNAcentral.